CACCCACUCCACACAACAAACUCAUUCCCACAAAUGCAAAGUCCGAACUCAUUCCAUUAUCUGUUUCAAUUCCACCAUGACACAUUCUAUUCUAUUGCUUGGACUUCUGAUAGUAGCAAACCUUAUGGGUUCUCAAGCUAAAAAUUCCUUCUCACAGUACUGGGAAGAGCAUAUUGGCAUUCCCCAACCUCCACAUUGGGUAGCUGCAAAGGCUUCUCCAUUAAACUUCCAUCAGGUGGCAGUAUUUAUGAAACUUAUAGAGGAAAAUGAAUUGGCUUCCCACCUGCAUUUGUUCUGUAGGCAGGCUAAUGUCGCUUGUUCUACAAAUGCAUUGGUGAAGAAG
Molecule: long non-coding RNA, 343 nt
Organism: Telopea speciosissima
Lineage: Eukaryota; Viridiplantae; Streptophyta; Magnoliopsida; Proteales; Proteaceae
Exons: 2
Source: RefSeq, a predicted model, not a curated record